UGGCGGACGGGUGAGUAACGCGUGGAAAACCUGCCGUGUACUGGGGGAUAACACUUAGAAAUAGGUGCUAAUACCGCAUAAGCGCACAGCUUCGCAUGAAGCGGUGUGAAAAACUCUGGUGGUAUACGAUGGUUCCGCGUCUGAUUAGCUAGUUGGUGGGGUAAUGGCCUACCAAGGCAACGAUCAGUAGCCGGCCUGAGAGGGUGAACGGCCACAUUGGGACUGAGACACGGCCCAAACUCCUACGGGAGGCAGCAG
RNAcentral lists this ribosomal RNA (258 nucleotides) under uncultured bacterium. Its description in RNAcentral is "partial 16S ribosomal RNA". It matches the Rfam family "Bacterial small subunit ribosomal RNA", at positions 96 to 354 of the family's 1533-position model. The record is from RNAcentral.